GGGGAAUUGUUCGCAAUGGGCGCAAGCCUGACGACGCAACGCCGCGUGGAGGAUGAAGAUUUUCGGAUCGUAAACUCCUGUCGAGCGGGAAGAAUAGUUUCCGGGCGAAUAUCCCGGGAACCUGACGAUACCGCUAAAGGAAGCCCCGGCUAACUCCGUGCCAGCAGCCGCGGUAAUACGGGGGGGGCAAGCGUUGUUCGGAAUUACUGGGCGUAAAGGGCUCGUAGGCGGCCAACUAAGUCAGACGUGAAAUCCCCAGGCUUAACCUGGGAACUGCGUCUGAUACUGGAUGGCUUGAAUUCGGGAGAGGGAUGCAGAAUUCCAGGUGUAGCGGUGAAAUGCGUAGAUAUCUGGAGGAACACCGGUGGCGAAGGCGGCAUCCUGGACCAAUAUUGACGCUGAGGAGCGAAAGCCAGGGGAGCAAA
This 425-nucleotide ribosomal RNA is filed under the name uncultured bacterium. Its description in RNAcentral is "bacterial SSU rRNA". It matches the Rfam family "Bacterial small subunit ribosomal RNA", at positions 356 to 772 of the family's 1533-position model. The record is from RNAcentral.